GACGAACGCUGGCGGCGUGCUUAACACAUGCAAGUCGAACGGUAAGGCCCUUCGGGGUACACGAGCGGCGAACGGGUGGGUAACACGUGGGUGAUCUACCCUGCACUUCGGGAUCAGCCUGGGAAACUGGGUCUAAUACCGGAUAGGACCACUGCCUGCAUGGGUGGUGGUGGAAAGCUUUUGCGGUGUGGGAUGGGCCCGCGGCCUAUCAGGUGGUUGGUGGGGUGAUGGCCUACCAAGGCGACGACGGGUAGCCGGCCUGAGAGGGUGACCGGCCACACUGGGACUGAGAUACGGCCCAGACUCCUACGGGAGGCAGCAGUGGGGAAUAUUGCACAAUGGGCGCAAGCCUGAUGCAGCGACGCCGCGUGAGGGAUGACGGCCUUCGGGUUGUAAACCCCUUUCAGCACCGACGAAGCGCAAGUGACGGUAGGUGCAGAAGAAGGACCGGCCAACUACGUGCCAGCAGCCGCCGUAA
Molecule: ribosomal RNA, 478 nt
Filed under: uncultured bacterium
Lineage: Bacteria
Description: partial 16S ribosomal RNA
Rfam family: Bacterial small subunit ribosomal RNA
Source: RNAcentral